UACGGAGGAUGCGAGCGUUAUCCGGAUUUAUUGGGUUUAAAGGGAGCGCAGGCGGGAGAUUAAGUCAGUUGUGAAAGUUUGCGGCUCAACCGUAAAAUUGCAGUUGAUACUGGUUUCCUUGAGUGCAGUUGAGGCAGGCGGAAUUCGUGGUGUAGCGGUGAAAUGCUUAGAUAUCACGAAGAACCCCGAUUGCGAAGGCAGCUUGCUAAACUGUAACUGACGUUGAUGCUCGAAAGUGUGGGUAUCAAACAGG
This 253-nucleotide ribosomal RNA is filed under the name uncultured bacterium. Its description in RNAcentral is "partial 16S ribosomal RNA". It matches the Rfam family "Bacterial small subunit ribosomal RNA", at positions 524 to 776 of the family's 1533-position model. The record is from RNAcentral.